Long non-coding RNA from Oncorhynchus mykiss (rainbow trout), 1581 nucleotides. RefSeq lists it as uncharacterized. Lineage: Eukaryota; Metazoa; Chordata; Actinopteri; Salmoniformes; Salmonidae. The record is from RefSeq and is a predicted model, not a curated record.
GGAAGGUGUACAGGGCUUGGCAUGUCUCUUGAGGAGGCUAAAAAUAGAUUUUGGCUUGGAAAAGUGAAAGAAUGUGAAAGAGCAUGAAGGUUGAAAAGACUGAGGGAGGCAGAGGAUCGGUUUUAAUCUGUUGAAGAUAGCAAUAAAAAGGGAGAGGGUAUGUCGAGGAAGAGUGAGCCGGACGCCAGUUCGAAUUCUGUCUCUUCAGAUCAGAGAGAGAAGGCUUUCCGUGCGACGCAACUUGGGGAAAGGCCUGUAUCUUGCUUAGGUACAGGGCACCAUUGAAGGGAGUGAGUUCAGGGGUAGCGGUGGAGCAAUUUAAGAUUCCUGGUGUUGGAAGAUUCUUGAUAUUUGUGACGCAGACCUGGCGGAGAGUGUGGUGAAACAGCAGUGUGUAGGAGGGAGAUUCCAAGAUGUGGGAAGAUGUGACCACGUGGAAAAGUUUGACUACAUGAAUGAUGAGAGGACCUGGAAACCCAGUGACUCAGGCCUGCAGCUGCCAUUUUCCAGUGGGAAAGAGAAAUGGCCCUGUAUUUCCAGAAAAAGUAGCUCAUCCACCAUGCCAAAAGAGGAAAAUCCAGAACUGUUGAUUAGGAAACAAGAAUGAACAAUGAGGAUUGGGUGUUGAGGGACCACUUGUCACAUUGUCCAAGCUGGGUUUGUGUUAUGAUAAACAAUGGGUUUUGUGUCCAGAUAAAAAUGGUGAUACAGCAUUGAAAAAGACCUACAGAACCAGUGACCAAAUGUCUUUGUUUUCCCUUUCCCCCAUGUUUUAGACAUGACAUGCGGAAAAUCAGGCUCAACCCAUAAAUAUGGGGGCCAACUCAUUUUAUUUUUAAUCCCAGACCCCAUCCACGCAGGAGGCCUUUUGGUAGGCCGUUAUUGUAAAUUUGAAUUUGUUCUUAACGGACUUGCCAAGUUAAAUAAAGGUGAAAUAAAAAUGUUUAAAAUAAAUGAUAUACAAAAUCUGAUAGACAUUGUUCUUGUAUAAAUGUGGCUUAUAGGAAGGAGGUGAAAUAAAAUAUUUUAUUUAAACCAUGUUGAGAUACAGAAUGUAAUUUAUAUGUACACAUGGCUUCUCUCUGGAGUAAUUUGCUGCCCAUAUCAGAUUGUGCAUUAUGUUUAUGAGUUGGCCCCACAUAUUUAUGAACGGCUGUGCCUGAUGUCCUUUGUGGUGGGCUCUCUCAUGAACUGAUAUGAUGUAUUUAGGUGAGCGGACACCUGGGGCGUUUGAUUUGGGAGUUGCCCUUCGUGCUUCCGUACCCUAUAACUCUAUCUUUUUGUGACUAAUUUGUAUACAGGUAGACCGCGUACCUGAUUGGCAGAUAAGUGGCAACCCUGAUUAGAAGUACCAGAUGCUCACCUGUUCUUUACAAAGGCUGUUUUGAAUGAAAGAAAAUUGUACCUACACAUUGAAGAACGCUGUACAGCCGAAACGUCUGUGUACACUAUCCCUGGUGCAGAAAAAAUAUCAAACUUAGAAUAAUGAAGUAAACUUUAUGCAACAUAUUUUUGCAAACCCAUUACACCUCUUGGUUUGUCUAAGACAUCAUUUAAACAUCUCAGAUAAUAAUUACCACU